GUUUCCUCGCAUACAUUACCAUCAAUGCCCGGCCUGUGAGUGUGUGUCGGGGAGGGGGGAGAGCGGCCGCGAAAGGCGGGCGGGCGCGCAGGCGGCGGCGGCGGCGGGCGGCGGGCAGCCCCGGCACCUGGGCCCGGCGCGCCCUCGGCGACUCUCAUCAGCUCCCAGUUACUGGCGCCGGCGCUCCCGGGCCAUCUCCCUCCGUCGACACCACGCUCACUCUCAGCCGGGGCAGCGGCGCCAACUACACGGCGGCACCGCGAACCGGGGGGAGGGGGGCAAGACGACGCGUCCGGCUCAGCCCCGCGGAGAGCGACUGCCUCCUCCGCCUUCUCCUCCUCCUGCUCCGCCGCCUCCUCCCCUCCUCCCCCCGCCGCCGCCGCUGCUGCCGCCGCCUGGUCCUUCUUCUCCUCCUCCUCCUCCCGCCGCCGCCGCCGCCGCUGGUGCCGCCGCUGCCGCUCCACCAACUACAUCCGGGCAACUCGGACGCUGCCGCCUUCGGGAAACCUCGGCAGUUUCCGCCGGGCCCCUCCUCUCCCACCCUCGGCCUUCCUCCCCGCACCGCGCGGGUCCGGAACACCGCCCUCGGCAAACCUCGGCUGGCUCCGGCCUUUCUCCUCCUCUGAGGCCUGGAUCUUCUCUUCGCGACCAGUCUGCCCUUUCCUUCUUUUCCUCACUCGCGAGUCGGCCACCGCCGUUCCCGUUUAGGGAUAGUCUCGCUCGGGCGCCUGCUCGAGGCUGAUCUCAGGGGCUCCGGGCUGCGCAGGGAGGGAGCCGCCUUCCGGAAGAGGACGGUGGGGCGCGAGGGAAGCCAUCGCGGACUAAAUAAGGGAGGCUGCAGCGGCUGCGCGUGCGCCCAGAGGCGCAGCGGGAGGGGGUGCUCUCGGGCGAGCUCUCCGGCCGCGGCCCCCGCCCCUGCGCUGUCGGGCGGGGAGGUCGGAAACCCCCUGGCGAGACCACGGGCGGACGCUUCCCGAAGAGCUGCCUGGGCUGCAGCCGCGGAAGCUGCGUUCUGGGGAGCGGGGAGCGUGCUCCGGCGCCUUCGGGCCGCUGCUGGAAGCCGGAACCGAGCCCGGGCCGCUGCCCCUCACCGGACGCCGCGCGCCACCGGCCCUCCGCGGGGCAGGGGCUGCUGCGAGCUCGCCGGGCGCCCUUUAGACGUAAGUCUCACCCUGCGCCCCGAGGCAGGAAGGAGCGCGUGCAGUCCCGGCCAGAAACGGCUAAUAGGAAGGGCUGAGGGGUUCUGUGUUCAAGGCAGAAGGCCGUGCGUCAGGGCGGCCCUCAGCGGAGAUGCGUGCACGGAGCGGGGAGCGCCGCUCGGGGCAGGGAAUGAAAGCGGCGCUUGAGACUGGAAAUUUAGGGAGAUGAGUUCCUUGGGAACAACGCUGAACCAUCUCACUGCCCCACCCUACCCCUUGUUAUUUUUUUUUGAGACAGGUCUCGCGCUGUCGUCCAGUCUGAGUGCAGUGACGCGAUCACGGCUCACUGCAGCCUCGACCUCCGGGGCUUACGGGUCAUCCCACCUCAGCCCUCUAAGUAGCUGGCACCACGGGCAUGCACCACCACACCCGGCUAAUUUUUUAAAAAAAGUUUUUCCGGAGAUAGGGUCUCGCUGUGUUACCCAGGCUGGUCUCGAACCCCUGGCCUGAAGCGAUCCUCCCGCCUCGGCCUCCCAAAGUGCUGGGAUUACAGGCGUGAGCCACUGCGCUCGGCUUUUCACCCCUUUCUAACGUUUUCCAUCCCUUUCUAACGUUUUCCAUACCCAGCGGUGCCCUGCCCACCCUCUCUUUAUCUCUCACUUUUCCCUCCUCUGUUUCUUCCUCGCUGAAGUCCAUUGGUGAAAGAAAAUUCAUGUGAAAGUUCUCAGAGUCGUCCUUGUCUACUCCACUACCAAAUGUUGAAGUUCUUCAAGAAUCAGUCCUUUGGAGGCAUUUAAGGAAAUCUGUUUCUCUUUUGGAUCACUAGCUGCAAAUUAAGCUAACAGAACAGGAGCUCAGCUGGUCACACACAGCAACGAAUACAGACUUUAUAAAGUUCAGAAAAGUUACCAAACAGUGGUAACCAUAACAAGUACCAACAAUGAACUAUGGGGAGGGAGGAGAAUCUGAUUUCCAGAGUUACCACAUUAUAAUACUAUUCAAAAUGUCACAUUUUUAGCAAAGAUUACAUGACAAGGAAAAACCAGAAAAGUAUGGCCCAUACACAGGUAAAAAAAGAAAUUAAUAGAAACUACCCCUGAAGAAGCACAGACUUCGGAUGUACAAAACAAAGACUUUUCAUCAACUCUUUUAGAUAUGCUAGAAGAGCUAAAGGAAACCAUGGACAGAGAACAAAAAAAUUAGGAAAGCAAUGUCUCAUCCAAUACAGAAUAUCAAUAAAGAGAUUGAAAUUGUAGAAAAGAACCAAAUAGAAAUUCUGGAGUUGAAAAGUAUUAUAACUAAAACUGAAAAUUCACUAGAGGUAUUCAGCAGCAGACUGGAGAAGUCAGAAGAAAGAAUCAACAGGCUUCAAGAUAGGUCAAUUAAGAUUAUACAGUCUGAGGAGCAGAAAGGAAAAAGAAUGAAGAAAAAUGAACAGAGCAUAAAAGACCUCUGGGACUCUAUCAAGCAUACCAGUAUAUGCAUGAGGGGAGUCCCAGAAGGAGAAGAAAGAGAGAAAGGGACAUAAUAUUUGAAGAAAUAAUGGUAGAAAAUGUCCCAGCUUUGAUGAAAUACAUGAAUCUAGAUAUUCAAGAGGCUCAAAGAACCCUAAAUAGGGUAAACUCAAAAAGACCCACACCGGAAUGCAAAAGUGAGCUGGGUGUGGUGGCACGUGCCUGUGGUCCCAGCUACUCGAGAGGCUAAGGCAGGAAAAUCGCUUGAACCCAGGAGGCAGAGAUUGCGGUGAGCCGGGAUUGCGCCAGUGCACUCCAGCUGGGCGACAGAGCGAGAUUCCAUCUCGAAAAAAAAAAAAAAAAAAAAAAAAAACUAUUGCUGCAGUCAUUCAGAUGGAAAUGGGGAAAGAAUAAUAUUAACUGAUUUCAAAAAGGACUUGAAGAUGUGAAUCAUCUAUUUUGCUGAAGAAAUCUUAACUCUUUGAAAUUACUUUUUGUUGCUGUUGUCAUACUCUUAGGUGCCAAACUGCGGUAAAUUUUUUAUCAGUGAAGUGGAAGCAUGUGUUUUGUUGUUUUGGGAAUUUUUAUCAAGUAUCUUCAGAGAAGAUUAUUUCCUGCUUUAUCUUCAAAAACUGGAAAGGAAGGGUCAAAGAAAAGACAGUAGCUGGCCGGUCAUGGUGGCUCAUGCCUGUAAUCCCAACACUUUGGGAGGCUGAGGUGGGCAGAUCACCUGAGGUUGGGAGUUCGAGGCCAGCCUGACCAACGUGGAGAAAUGCCAUCUCUACUAAAGAUGCAAGGAUUGGCCGGGCGUGGUGGUGCGUGCCUGUGAUCCCAGCUGCUCAGGAGGCUGAGGCAGGAGAAUCGCUUGGACCUGGGAGGUGGAGGUUGCGGUGAGCUGAGAUCACGCCAUUGCACUCCAGCCUGGGCAACAAGCGAAACUCUGUCUCAAAAAAAAAGAAAAGACAGUAGCUUAUGUUCAUGUCAAGCACCUCUCAUCACAGUCUAGUUCCAAGGAAAAAAUUCCCAGCGUUUUCUACAUUCGGUGCUGCGUCAUCUGAAAUCGGCACAUUCCAUGGAGGAAGGAGUCCUGCUUUGUUGCAUGUAUCCUAGGGUUUAAUGUUGGUAAAUGAGUCACUCUAGCAUUUGUAGAAGGCUCCCUGAGACUCCUGCAGCAGUCGACCAAGCCCAAGGACAUAAUUGAAUCUGGAGAGUCCUGGGGCCUUGUUUUGAAAAAGACUUGAAAUACACAUAGGAAGAAAGGCAUAAAAAUAAAUGUUCACUUGUCUCUGCUGUGAGUAUGUGUUCCAACUUUUCAGUGAUGGCUUUGAGAAUUCUCAAACUUGACUGGCUCUAAGUGUAUCUGGUGGCUUUUGUAUCGUAACCUGAAACUGGCUUAGUACUUUUUCCUAAAAGCUCAGGAUUUGAGAAUGAGGACCCCUUCGCCAGGAAAACAUGUAUACACUCAAAAUUUUGCUUGCAGUUCUAGGGUGUUUAGACCUUUCUCAGAUACCUGUGCAUCUUAUGGGUUUUGUUUUUCUCUUUGAGACAGUCUCACCCUGUUGCCCAGGCUGGAGUGCAGUGGCAUGGUCUCAGCUCAUUGCAGCCUCCGCCUCCUGGGUUCAGGUGGUUCUGCCUCAGCCCCUUGAUCGGCUGGGAUUGCAUGCAUGUGCCACCAUGCCCGGCUCAUUUUUGUAUUUUUAGUGGAGAUGGAGACAGAGUUUCACCAUGUUGGCCGGGCUGGUCUUGGGCUCCUGACCUCAGGUGAUCCGCAAGCCUGGGCCUCCCGGGGUGCUGGGAUUACACGCGUGGGCAACUGCGCCCAGCCCUUGUGUACCUUAUGUGAGGAAGUCCUGCUCAAUCAGGAUCGGUCACGCAGGCCCUGAUCUUGCUACUCUGGUUCCAUGUCCUAUGGAAGACCAAAGUUUACCAAGAUAGAUUUUUCCCUUCAUAGUGGCAGAUACUGUUAACCCCUGCACCAUCUAUAACUCAGAAAUCCCCACCAUUUCUUCCCCUGGGCUUCAGAAUAGAAUUGCCUGGUUUCUCUGAUGAUCAGCACACUUCCUUAAAACCCAAAUCAGCAAGGAAUGAACAAUUUUGUUUGGCAUGGAUGAAAUUAGCACUGUUUGGCUCGGUAGGCCCCAGACAGGCAGGCACCUUAAUUUUUUCCUUGCAUAUUCUAGUCUUCAGAAGCAUUGCCUUUUGUCCUACUGGUAGUGACAUAGAUCAAUAACAGGGCAUCUGGGGAUUUUAAUCCUGAAAACAGUGAGUCUGAUACUGCUUGUGUUUUUCAUCAGUGUCCACCCCGAGUGGGUCUUCCUGCUAUUCUCUUCACUUAGUUGCCCCUCACUUGCCAUCUGAGCAAUUGGCAAGGAUGUGCCAGGCCUAGGUUAAACUUGGAAACAUGCUUGACCAUUCUAUUCCCUGGUCCUUUAAGAUCAGUUUGGCUGCAAUUUUGGCUCCUUGGACCCUCAAGCAUAGCUGGUAAAUCAAGUUAGAGAUGUAACUGCCUUAAAACGUGCCAGCUUAGGCUGGGCGCGGUGGCUCACGCCUGUAGUCCCAGCACUUCGGGAGGCUGGGGCAGGCGGAUCACCUGAGGUCAGGAGUUCGGGACCGGCCUGACCAACGUGGAGAAAUUCUGUCCCUACUAAAAAUGCAAAAUUGGCCGGGUGUGGUGGUGCAUGCCUGUAAUCCCAGCUACUUGGGAGGCUGAGGCAAGAGAAUUGCUUGAACCCAGGGAGGCGGAGGUUGCAGUGAGCCGAGAUCACGCCAUUGCAUUCCAGCUUGGGCAACAAAAGCAAAACUCUGUCUCAAAAAAAAAAAAAAGUGCCAGCGUAUGAGGUAAUUAGAUUGGUUCUCUCCAGAGGUAACCUGCCAAGAAGAGAUGCUAUAGAUGUUACUCAUAUACUGUAAAACAUUGUGAAAUCAGAUUACUUUAAAAUGAUGUAUUACAAAGUUUUGCAAAAAAGCAGUUGUGACUGUGGAAGCCCAAGGCUUAUAUCCCAGCUCUGUCUUACACUAAAUAUGGGUAGAGUGUUUCCACUCUGUCCAUAAAAUGGGAGCUAAUAUUCUCCAACCUGUGUGCCUGACAUGAUGGUUAAAAGGAUUAAACAAAACAAUAGUUUGUAAUUUAUUCUGUCAGAGCACACUGCUGGUAAAUAAAAGGGAGUAAGUUGACUAAAACUAAAUUUAAAAAAAAAUCCUAAUAAAACAAGUUUGUAAUUUAUAAUUGUAUACAAAUAAAAGAUGUUACAAAAAAAAAAAAGACCCACACCAAGACACAUCAUAAUUAAACCGUCAAAAGUCAAUGACAAUCCUGCAAGCAGCAAGAGAGAAGCAAUUCCUCACGUACAAAGGAUUCUCAAUAAGAUUAAUAGCUGACUUCUCAUUAGAAACCACAGAGGCCAGGAGGCAGAGGCAGUGGGAUGAUAUAUUCGAAGUGCUGAAAGAAAAAACUGUCAAGAAUUCUGUGUCCAGCAAAACUAUCCUUCAAAAAAAAAAAAAAAAAGUGAAGGAGAAAUUAAGACAUUCACAGAUAAGCAAAAACAGAAAGAGUAUCUCACUAGUAGUCCUGCCUUACAAGAAAUACUAAAAGGAUCCUUCAGCCUGAAAUGAAAAGACACUAGACAGUGAUUCAGAUCCACAUGAGGAAAUAAAAAACACUGAAAAAGAUUUAAAUACAUAGGUAGAUAUAAAUGAAAGCAAUAAUUAUAUCUGUGUCAAAGCACAAUGUAUAAAGGUGAUUCAUGAUGAGGAAAAGAUGAAGUAUAGGAGCAAAAAUUUUGUGUACUAUUGAAACUAAGUUGGUAUUUAUUUGAAAUAGAUUGUUAUAAAUGAAAGUUAAUUGUAAUCCCUAGAGCAACUACUAAGAAAAUAACUAAAAAUUUUGGAAAGGGAAUAAAAAUGGUAUGCUAGAAAAUAUCUAAUACAAAAAAGGCAUAAGGGAGGAAUUGAGGAAGACAUAGGGAAAACAAAUAGCAAGGGGCAAUGUCCUUCCUACUAAUUACAUUAAAUGUGAAUGCCUUAAAUUCCAUUUAACAGAUGGAGAGAUUGGCAGAAUGGAGUCUUUUAAAUGUUCUAACUAUAUCCUGUUUACAGAAGACUGACUUUAGAACCAAAGACACAAACAUGUUGAAAGUGAAAGGGUGUCACCUUAGUUUUCUUUCUUUUUUUUUUUUUUUGAGAUGGAGUUUCACUCUUUUUGCCCAGGCUGGAAUGCAAUGGCGUGCUUGGCUCACCACAACCUCCGCCUCCUGGGUCCAAGCAAUUCUCCUGCCUCAGCCUCCUGAGUAGCUGGGAUUACAGGCAUGCGCCACCACGCCCAGCUAAUUUUGUAUUUUUUAGUAGAGAUGGGGUUUCUCCAUGUUGGCCAGGCUGGUCUUGAACUCCCAACCUCAGGUGAUCUGCCCGCCUCGGCCUCCCAAAGUGCUGGGGUUACAGGCUGAGCCACCGCGCCCGGCCAGCACCUUAGUUUUCUUGUGCUGCCGUAACAGAAUACCUGAGACUGGGUAAUUUAUAUAGAGCAGAAAUUUAUUUUCUCACAGUUUUGGAAUCUGAGAAACUCAAAAUUACGACAUUGGCAGGUUUGGUUGUCUGGUAAGAGCUGCUUUCUGCUUCCAAGAUGACACCUUAUUGCUGCAUCUUCUAUAGGGGAGGAAUGUUACAUCCUCAACGUGGCAGAAGGUAAAAGGGCAAAAAGGAAUGAAAUUCCUCAUCAGGCCCUAAGUUAAGGGCACCUAAUCUCAUUCAUGAGGGGAGGAGCCCUCAAGACUUAACCACCUCUUACUGGCUGGGCGCAGUGGCUCACGCCUGUAAUCCCAGCACUUUGGAAGGCCGAGGCGGGUGGAUCACAAGGUCAGGAGAUAGAGACCAUCCUGGUCCUAGUAGAGACACGGUGAAACGCGGUCUUUACUAAAAAUACAAAAACAAGAUUAGCCGGCCGUGCUGGCGGGCGCCUGUAGUCCCAGCUACUUGGGAGGCUGAGAUGGGAGAAUGGCGUGAACCUGGGAGGCGGAGCUUGCAGUAAGCCGAGAUUGCGCCACUGCACUCCAGCCUGGGCGACAGAGCAAGACUCCGCCUCAAAAAAAAAAAAAAAAAAAAGACUUAACCACCUCUUAAAAGUCCCACCUCUUAAUACCAUCAUGUUGGCCAUUAAGUUUAAAUAUCUGAAUUUUGGAGGGCACACAUUCAAACCAUAGCAAGUGGAAAAAGACAUUCCAAGAUAUCUCAGGUUCACAUGGAACAUUCUUCAGAAUAAAACAUGUUAGUCCACAAGUCUCAGUUUUAAAAGAUUGAAUUACAAAGUGCCUUCUCUGACUACAAUGGAAUAAAACUGAAAAUAACACACCCUUAAACAACCAAUGGAUCAAAGAAAGAUUAAAUCACAAGAGAAAUCAGAAAAUACUUUGAGAUGAAUAAAAACAAAAAUGCAGCACCCUAAAACGUUUGGAAUGCAGCAAAAGCAGUGCUCAAAGGCAAUUUUAUAGCUGCACAUGCCUACAUUAAAAAAUACCUAGAAUCAGCAACCUAACCUUCCACCUUCAGGAACUAGAAAAAGAAGAGGAAAUCAAACCCAAAGCUAGCAGAAGGAAGGAAAUAGUAAAGACUGGAGUAGAGAUAAAUGAAAUAUACAGUAGAAAAUAGAAUCCACAAAACCAAAAUUUGGUUGUUUGAAAUAAUAAUGUUCACAAACCCUUAAAAAGACUGAGCAAGACAAAAAGAUUCAGGUUACUAAAAUCAGGAAUAAAGUGGGGACAUUACUGCCAAUCUUACAGAAAUAAAAAGGAUUGUAAGGAAAUACUAUUAACAAUUAUAUGCUAACAAAUUAGAUAACCUAGAUAAAAUGGACAAAUUCCUAGCAGCACACAAACUACCAAAACUAACUCAAGAAAAAACUAAACCUAUAACAGUACUAGUUAAAAAAAAAAAAAGUAAACCAGUUAAAAACAAAAAACUUCCAAGAUAGGAAAGAUCAAACCAUGUGGCUUUACUGGUGACGUAAAGUAUUUUAAGAGUGCCAGUCCUUCUCAAACACUUAAAGUAGGGGAAGAGGGAAUAUCUUAACUCAUUAUAUGAUGCCGGCGUUACCCUGGUACCAAAUCCAGACAAAGACAUCACAAGAAAAUAAAACUACAGUCCAAUAGUUCUAAUGAAUAUAGAUGCAAAGAUCCUCAGCCAAAGUGAAUCCUGAAGCACAUUACAAGGAUAUCCACAAACAAAACUGUUAGAGCUAAUACCUCAAUAUCACAGGAUGCCCAGGAUCAACAUACAAAAAUUAGUUAUAUUUCUGUAUCCUUGCAAUGAACAUUUCAAAGUGAAAUGAAGAAAACUCAUUUACAGUAGUAUCAAAAAGAAUAAAAUACUAAUAAACAAGAUGUAAGACUUACACACUGAGAACUACAAAACAUAGUUGAGAGAAAUUUAAAAAGACCUAAAUAAAUAGGCAUUUUAUGUUCACGUAUUAGAAGACUUUGAAAAUGGCAAUACUCCCCCAAUUAACCAACAGAAUCAGUGAAAUUCCUAUGAAAAUUCCAACUGCCAUUAAUGUAGAAAUGGGCAGGUUGAUCCUAAAAUUCAUAAGAAAUUGCAAGGAUGUGGCCAGGCGCGGUGGUUCAACGUCUGUAAUUCCAGCACUUUGGGAGGCUGAGGCGGGCGGAUCACGAGGUCAGGAGAUAGAUACCAUUCUGGGUAACACGGUUAAACCCCGUCUCUACUAAAAAUAAAAAAAAAAAAAGUGUAGCCGGGCAGGUGGUGGGCGCCUGUAGUCCCAGCUACUGGGGAGGCUGAGGCAGAAGAAUGGCAUGAACCCAGGAGGCAGAGUUUGCAAUGAGCCGAGAUCGCGCCACUGCACUCCAGACUGGGUGAGAGAGCUAGACUCCAUCUCGAAAGAAAAAAGAAAAUGAAAAAAAGAAAUUGCAAGGAUGCCAAAACAGUCUUGGAAAAGAACAAAGUUAGAAGACCCACAUUUUGUGAUUUCAAAAUUUACCACGAAGCUACAGUAAUCAAAAGAGUGUGGUACUGACAUAAGGAUAGAUAUGUAGGCCAAGAAAACAGAAUUGAGAGCCCAGAAGUAAGCCUAUACAUCUGUGGUCAAUUGAUUUUUGACAAAGGUGUCAAGAUAGAUCACUGGGGAAUAGAAUAGUAUUUUUAAGAAAUGCUGAGGAUACUGGGUAUCCACAUGUAAUAGAAUGGAUUUGGACCCUUACCUUACACCACAUGCAAACAUUAAGUCAAAAUAAAUCAAAUACCUAAAUAUAAGAAUGAAACUAUACAACUAUUAAAAGAAAAUAUUGGGGUAAGUCUACAUGACCUGGGAUUUCCCAGUGGAUUCUUAGAUAUGAUACCAAGAACUCAAGUAGCAACAUGAAAAAUAGAUACAACUGGGCUUGAUCAAAAUUUAAAACUUUACAUAUCAAAUGACACUAUCAAGAAAGAGAAAAGAGAACCCACUGAGUGAGAGAAAAUAUUUGCAAGUCGUAUACCUGGUAAAGCUCAAAUAACUCUUACAAGUCAUCAGUUAAAAGACGACCCAAGUUAAAAAUGGGCAAAGGACUUGAAUAGACAUUUCUCCAAGGGAGAUAUUCUAAUGGCCAAGUACAUGAAGAGAUGCUUUGCAUCAUAACCUUCCACCUUAAGGGAAAUGCAAAUCAAAACCACGAUGAGAUACCACUUUCUAUACUCACUAGGGUGCUAUUAUUAAAAGACAAGUGUUGGCAAGGAUGUGGAGAAAUUGGAAAGCUCAUAAAUUGCUGGCGGAAAUAUAAAAUGGUGCGUUCAUUAUAAAAUAGUUUGAUGGUUUAUCAAAAUUUUAAACGGAAUUAACAUAUAACCCAGCAGCUCUCCUAAAUAUAUACUCAAGAGGAUAGAAAACUAAUCAAACAAAAACUUCUGCAUGAGUGUGUAUAGCAGCACUAUAAUAGCCAAUAAGUAGAAACAACCCAAAUGUUCAUCAAUAGAUGAAUGGACAAAUUGUGGUAUAUUCAUAUAAUGAAAAACUACUCAGCCAUAAAAAGAAAUUAGGUACUAGUAUAUGUUGCAACAUGGAUCAACCUUGAAAGACCUUGCUAACUGAAAGAAAAGGCCACAUCUUACAUGAUUGUAUUUAUGUGAAACAUCUAGAAGAGGCACAUCCAUAGAGACAGAAAACAUUGGUGGAUGCUAGGGGUUAGGGAAAUGUAGAAGUGGGGAGUUGCUGCUUAAUGGGUUUCUUUUUUGAGUGAUGAAAAUAUUCAGAUUUAGGUAGUGGUGAUACUUGCAAACAUUGUGAAUGUACUGGAAGGCACUGAAUUGUACAGUAAAAUGGUUAAAAUGGUGAGUUUUAUGUCAUGUGAAUUUUACCCCAAUAAUACCUCAAUAAUAAUUUUUUAAAAGUAGCCCCUCUCUUAGUCCAUUUUGUGCUGCUCUAACAGAAUACCCGAAACUUUAUAAAGAACAAACGUUGGCCGGGCACUGUGGCUCACGUCUGUAAUCCCAGCACUUUGGGAGGCCGAGGUGGGCAGAUCACGAGGUCAGGAAUUAAGACCAGCCUAGCCAACAUGGUGAAACCCCGUCUCUACUAAAAAUAACAAAAACUAGCUGGGCGUGGUAGCACAUGCCUGUAAUCCCAGCUACUUGGGAGGCUGAGGCAGGAGAAUUGCUUAAACCCGGGAGGUGGGGGUUGCAGUGAGCUGCGAUCACGCCAUUGCACUCCAGCCUGGGCAACAGAGCAAGAGAUUCUUGUCUAAAAAAAAAAAAAAGGAACUAUAUUGGCCCACAUUUCUGGCAGUUGAGAAGUCCUAGAUGAAGGGGCCACAUCUAGUGAGGGCCUUCUUACUGCAUCGUAACGGUGGAAGGCAUCACAUGAUGAGAGAGAGAGCAAGAAAAGGUGCUUUUGUUACAAGCCCAUUCCAUUAUAAUGAACCCACUCCCAUGAUAACAAGCUAUUCAUGAGGACAGAGCCAUCAUGACCUAUUCUCUAAUUAGGCCCUACCUCCCGACACUGUUGCAUUGAAGAUUAAUUUUCCAACACAAGAACUUUGGGGGACACAAUCCAUAGCAGUCCCUCUCUUCACUAAUUUCUUUCCAUGAAUUCUUCCACUCCCCUGACUUUUGUGUGUAGUUACCAUCUAUACACAGAUGCUUCACUAGAGGCAGUUUGUAUCUCCAACCCACAUCUUUUUUUUGAGUUCCAGAUGUGAAUAUCCUGCUGUUUACUUACCUACCACCUCCACACAUAGCUUCAAAUGCAACUUUGAAAUAUAAAACUGAGUUCAUUACCUUUUCUCCUAAAUUUGAUUAUCUGUGAAUGCUUUCUGUCUCACUAAAGAUAGCUUCCAGUCAUUGAGAGUUUGCUGUAUGUUUGGACUAAAGUGUUAAUCCAUUAAUUUACUUAAUCCUCACAAGAACCUCAGAUAAUACUAUUUUCCAUUUGCAGUGAGAAAGUUGAAAGGUAAAAUAACUUAUUGAAAUCACACACCUUUUAAGGAAAGGCUAGCCCUCAACAAAGGCAGCCUGACUUUUCAGAGCCUAUGUUCUUAAUGCCAUUGCUAUACCAUCCUCUAACUUUUUCUAGAGACCUAGAAGUCAUCUUUGUCACUUCUCUCCUUUACAUGCUUUAUCAAGUUGAUCAUGAGGUCCUAUUGAUUUGACUUCCUAAAUAACUCUCACUCCAUCCAGUUCAUUUCAUCUGCUACCACCAGCCUUAUUCAAGCAACCAUCUUUUGUCUAUACAAUGGCCUCUUAACUAACCUCCCAUAUUCACUGACAACAACCUAAUAAAAAUAUUUAUAAAUAUAAAUUUGUAUCUUACAGGUAGGGAAUUUAUAUUCUUCUCUUAUUAUGCCCAAGGAAUAUUUCCAAAUAUUAAUCAUAAGAUUGAUCACCUAGAAAACCUUAGUGAAUCAUGAAAAGUAGAAAUCUUAAGAGCUGCUUUUCAGAUGAUAGUGCAAUAAAACCUAAAGUCAACAAAGGUUGUUUUUGUUUCUUGAUGAUUUUAACUGUUGGUUUACUAUCAGUCUCUCCAACACUCCUGCCUUAAUUCUUGGUGAUUUUAAUAUGCACAUCAAUGAUCUUUCCAAUAUCUUGACCUCCAGCUUCUUGGACACCUCUUUUCAUUCCACUUCAGCCACUCCUUUGGUCAUUCCCUAGUUAGAUCUGCUUAUUACCAUUAACUGCAAACUCAAUUAUCUCAACUUCAUGCAUCCACCUUUCUGGCUGCCACAUCCUGUCUUUCCAGCUUUCCCCUCUAGAUCCCUAGCUCCUCAUAAUUAUUUAUCUUUGUUGGUAAUUCUAAUCUAUUGAUUCUAUCACUGUUUCACUGCCCCUCACCCUUAUUUUCCUCCUCACUUGGCUUAAAUUCCAUAGCCAGUCAUUGAUUGGAUAUUCCUUUUACCCACUGACAAAACCGUAACCCUAAUCAUUACUUAUCUACUCCAUUCUUGCUCCCAUGUAGCUGAACAUGACUGGAAGAAAAAUGCAAGAGUUUCACUUUAAAUUCUUGAAGACAAACCUCAUGUGACCUCAAAAUGCUGCCAGUCAAUCAAAUUAUAUUUUCUCCAAGUUUAUUCACUUGUAGUCAGCUUGGGCUGCUACAAUAAAAUAUCAUAAAGUAGGUAGCUUGUAAACAACAGAUUGUCUUCCUUCUGGUUCUGGAGGCUGGGAAAUUCAUGAUCAAGGCACCAGCAGAUUUAGUGUCUGUUGAAGUCCAGCUUUGUGGUUCAUGGAUGGUGACUUCUCACUGUGAGAAGAUAUGGUGGAAGGAAAGAGGGGUCCUUUCUUGAGCCUCUUUUAUAAGGACACUAAUCUCAAUCAUGAGGACCACCCCCCAUAACCUAAUCACCCUCCAAACGUGAUUAGGCCUUCCAAUACCAUCACCUUGUGGGUUAGGAUUUCAACAUACGAAUUUUGAAGGGACACAAACAUUCAGAGCAUAGCACCCCCUUUUCCUGAAAUGAUUUUAUGUAAUGAUUUUAUGUAAUUGUCUCUUCUCGAAUAUCCAACACUCUAUUCCCAGUCUUACCCUCGAUGAUAACUCUUGUUCCUAUUUCCUGGAGAAAAUCAGAGCAAUCAGAAGAGAUCCCCUGCCACUAAAUCUAUCCUUCUAGCAGCUUGUGAACUCAUAUAAUUUUCUUUCCAGCCUGUUACCAUACAUAUAUGCAUGAUGUCCAUGCUCUCAUCUAAAAUCAGCCUCUGCUUGUGUACUAGAUCAGGGUUGACAAAAUGCAGCCUGUGGCCCAAAUCCUGCAUUUUGUUUUGUUUUUGUACAGCCCGUAAGCCAAGAAUAGUUUUUACUUUUUUUUUUUUUUUUUUUUUUUUGAGACAGUCUUACUCUGUUACCCAGGCUGGAGUGCAGUGGCACAAUCUUGGCUCACUGCAACCUCCACCUCCCGGGUUCAAGCGAUUCUUCUGCCU
Molecule: long non-coding RNA, 13978 nt
Filed under: Homo sapiens (human)
Lineage: Eukaryota; Metazoa; Chordata; Mammalia; Primates; Hominidae
Description: non-protein coding WAC-AS1:11
Source: RNAcentral